CCUACGGGAGGCAGCAGUAAGGAAUAUUGGACAAUGCUCGCAAGAGUGAUCCAGCCAUGCCGCGUGCAGGAAGAAUGCCCUAUGGGUAGUAAACUGCUUUUGAACUAGAGAAAACCCCAGUACGUGUACUGGGCUGAUAGUAUAGUUAGAAUAAGCAUCGGCUAACUUCGUGCCAGCAGCCGCGGUAAGACGAAGGAUGCAAGCGUUAUCCGGAUUCAUUGGGUUUAAAGGGAGCGUAGGUGGACUGAUAAGUCAGUGGUGAAAUCUCCGAGCUUAACUCGGAAAUUGCCAUUGAUACUGUUGGUCUUGAGUACAGUUGCUGUGGGCGGAAUAUGACAUGUAGUGGUGAAAUACAUAGAGAUGUCAUAGAACACCGAUUGCGAAGGCAGCUCACAAAGCUGUAACUGACACUGAGGCUCGAAAGUGCGGGGAUCAAACAGGAUUAGAUACCCUGGUAGUCCGCACCGUAAACGAUGAUUACUCGCUGCUAGGGGGCAACCUUUAGUGGCUUAGCGAAAGCGAUAAGUAAUCCACCUGGGAGUACGCCGGCAACGUGAACUUAGAGAUGAGNGNGAGAGNGCGAGACGACACGAGGGAGGAG
RNAcentral lists this ribosomal RNA (601 nucleotides) under uncultured bacterium. RNAcentral's name for it is "bacterial SSU rRNA". It matches the Rfam family "Bacterial small subunit ribosomal RNA", at positions 338 to 940 of the family's 1533-position model. The record is from RNAcentral.